This 492-nucleotide ribosomal RNA is filed under the name uncultured bacterium. RNAcentral's name for it is "partial 16S ribosomal RNA". It matches the Rfam family "Bacterial small subunit ribosomal RNA", at positions 29 to 507 of the family's 1533-position model. The record is from RNAcentral.
AGUGAACGCUGGCGGUAGGCCUAACACAUGCCAGUCGAACGGCAGCACAGUAAGAGCUUGCUCUUACGGGUGGCGAGUGGCGGACGGGUGAGGAAUACAUCGGAAUCUACUUUUUCGUGGGGGAUAACGUAGGGAAACUUACGCUAAUACCGCAUACGACCUACGGGUGAAAGCAGGGGAUCUUCGGACCUUGCGCGAUUGAAUGAGCCGAUGUCGGAUUAGCUAGUUGGCGGGGUAAAGGCCCACCACGGCGACGAUCCGUAGCUGGUCUGAGAGGAUGAUCAGCCAGACUGGAACUGAGACACGGUCCAGACUCCUACGGGAGGCAGCAGUGGGGAAUAUUGGACAAUGGGCGCGAGCCUGAUCCAGCCAUACCGCGUGGGUGAAGAAGGCCUUCGGGUUGUAAAGCCAUUUUGUUGGGAAAGAAAAGCAGCAGGUUAAUACCCCGCUGUUCUGACGGUACCCAAAGAAUAAGCACCGGCUAACUUCGUG